RNAcentral lists this ribosomal RNA (216 nucleotides) under uncultured bacterium. RNAcentral describes it as "partial 16S ribosomal RNA". It matches the Rfam family "Bacterial small subunit ribosomal RNA", at positions 1278 to 1500 of the family's 1533-position model. The record is from RNAcentral.
AAAGCCUGUCUCAGUUCGGAUUGGAGUCUGCAACUCGACUCCAUGAAGCUGGAUUCGCUAGUAAUCGCGCAUCAGCCAUGGCGCGGUGAAUACGUUCCCGGGCCUUGUACACACCGCCCGUCAAGCCAUGGGAGGCCGGGGGUGCCUGAAGUACGUGACCGCGAGGAGCGUCCUAGGGCAAAACUGGUGACUGGGGCUAAGUCGUAACAAGGUAAC